RNAcentral lists this ribosomal RNA (629 nucleotides) under Lactobacillus jensenii. RNAcentral describes it as "bacterial SSU rRNA". It matches the Rfam family "Bacterial small subunit ribosomal RNA", at positions 46 to 642 of the family's 1533-position model. The record is from RNAcentral. Lineage: Bacteria; Bacillati; Bacillota; Bacilli; Lactobacillales; Lactobacillaceae.
GCCUAAUACAUGCAAGUCGAGCGAGCUUGCCUAUAGAAGUUCUUCGGAAUGGAAAUAGAUACAAGCUAGCGGCGGAUGGGUGAGUAACGCGUGGGUAACCUGCCCUUAAGUCUGGGAUACCAUUUGGAAACAGAUGCUAAUACCGGAUAAAAGCUACUUUCGCAUGAAAGAAGUUUAAAAGGCGGCGUAAGCUGUCGCUAAAGGAUGGACCUGCGAUGCAUUAGCUAGUUGGUAAGGUAACGGCUUACCAAGGCGAUGAUGCAUAGCCGAGUUGAGAGACUGAUCGGCCACAUUGGGACUGAGACACGGCCCAAACUCCUACGGGAGGCAGCAGUAGGGAAUCUUCCACAAUGGACGAAAGUCUGAUGGAGCAACGCCGCGUGAGUGAAGAAGGUUUUCGGAUCGUAAAGCUCUGUUGUUGGUGAAGAAGGAUAGAGGUAGUAACUGGCCUUUAUUUGACGGUAAUCAACCAGAAAGUCACGGCUAACUACGUGCCAGCAGCCGCGGUAAUACGUAGGUGGCAAGCGUUGUCCGGAUUUAUUGGGCGUAAAGCGAGCGCAGGCGGAUUGAUAAGUCUGAUGUGAAAGCCUUCGGCUCAACCGAAGAACUGCAUCAGAAACUGUCAAUCU